Molecule: long non-coding RNA, 745 nt
Organism: Dermacentor andersoni
Lineage: Eukaryota; Metazoa; Arthropoda; Arachnida; Ixodida; Ixodidae
Source: RefSeq, a predicted model, not a curated record
GCCACGGAAUUCUCGGCUGCUUUAAGGUCUCGAUGCUUCGCCUCUCUCCCCUUUCCGUUCUGGCAUCUUGUUUUCCCCAAGUCAGCUCCAAAGUCAUUAUCGGUCGAGGCCGCUCACUUUGCUUUCACCUACAGGGCAGUACGCGAUCUCCUGAGGGUGGCCCUCGUAGUAGCUUCAUUGAUAGAGCACUGCACGAGUUUUGCGGAAAGAUGUGGCUUGGGCUUCGACCUACGGCAAGGGUCACCUGGCUCCUGGAGGGCAGUCGAGAGCGGUGAGAUCGGGAGAGUGAGUUAACGCCCUGCGCUAAGCACUUCAAGGUCCCCUCGCUCUUGAAAGAGGCCCCAUGGACUACUUACUGUGCAUCUAUGGCCUCGUCGCAGCUUAUGUGGCCGCGUCCGCUGCUGAGGCCUUGGUGCACGCUGCAGGCUUCGGUAAGGCCGGGAUCAGAGGCAGCUCUCCGGCGGCGUGGUGGCAGGCCCGUUGGCGUGGGCCCGGUGUGACGAACGACUUCUUCGCGAAGUUACAGAGCUGGGGCUCUGUGGGAUUUCCCAGCCACUACAACAUUUACUUCGGCCUCAUCGGGUUCUUGUGGGUCAUGCUCAUCGCCGACAGCGACGACGUCUUGGAUGAAGUGCUACCACCUGAAAGGUUUCGACGGUGAUGAGUUGAACUGAAGUAACGUUGCGCGAGCACUUCGAAGGUGUCAGCCGCAAAAUUAAAUAAAGAAAACAGAGAAUUCUCCUGC